GCACAAAUGUUAAGUGUCGUCACGCCUGCACGUGGCGCCGGGGGUUAAGCUGCAGCGCCAGAGCACAUGCUUGCGCAUAACUAAGUAUAAGUAGGAGGG
This 99-nucleotide small nucleolar RNA is filed under the name Dasypus novemcinctus (nine-banded armadillo). Lineage: Eukaryota; Metazoa; Chordata; Mammalia; Cingulata; Dasypodidae. The record is from RNAcentral.